GAACAACUGUUAUAAGUGUGAAAACUGCCCAAAGAACAAAACAUGGCUCCUACUUAGCAAUAAACACAGAGAUUUUAAAGUGUCAAGAAGAUAAGUACAGAAUAAAUCUUUGAACUGCUCAAAGCAAGUUAGUAUGAAAAAUAUAAAAACAAUAUCAUAGAAACAGUAAAAAGACCAAAAACUAAUAAAAGGAUUCCUUAUUCAUAUGUCCAUAACACAAAACAUGUUAUACAUUCCUAAAAUGACAUAUAAAGCAUUUACUGCAUUAUUUCAUGAACACAAG
Molecule: non-coding RNA, 283 nt
Organism: Pelobates cultripes (western spadefoot toad)
Lineage: Eukaryota; Metazoa; Chordata; Amphibia; Anura; Pelobatidae
Source: the annotation of a GenBank genome assembly